This 399-nucleotide ribosomal RNA is filed under the name uncultured bacterium. RNAcentral describes it as "bacterial SSU rRNA". It matches the Rfam family "Bacterial small subunit ribosomal RNA", at positions 359 to 776 of the family's 1533-position model. The record is from RNAcentral.
GAAUUUUGCGCAAUGGGCGAAAGCCUGACGCAGCAACGCCGCGUGAAGGAUGAAGGCUCUCGAGUCGUAAACUUCUGUCUGGGGGAAAGAUGAUGACGGUACCCCCAAAGCAAGCCCCGGCUAAUUCCGUGCCAGCAGCCGCGGUAAUACGGAAGGGGCGAGCGUUGUUCGGAAUUAUUGGGCGUAAAGGGCGUGUAGGCGGCUUCGCAGGUCGGUGGUGAAAGCAUACAGCUCAACUGUAUUGAGCCACGGAAACGGCGGAGCUUGAGGCUGGGAGGGGCUGGUGGAAUUCCCUGUGUAGCGGUGAAAUGCGUAGAGAUGGGGGAGAACACUCGUGGCGAAGGCGGCCAGCUGGACCAGUUCUGACGCUGAGACGCGAAAGCGUGGGGAGCAAACAGG